UCGAGGAUCUUCGGCAAUGGGCGCAAGCCUGACCGAGCGACGCCGCGUGUGCGAUGAAGGCCUUCGGGUUGUAAAGCACUGUCGAGGGGGAGGAAAGCCGCAAGGUCUGACCUAUCCCUGGAGGAAGGACGGGCUAAGUUCGUGCCAGCAGCCGCGGUAAGACGAACCGUCCUAACGUUGUUCGGAAUCACUGGGCUUAAAGGGCGCGUAGGCGGGCCAGCAAGUCCGGGGUGAAAUCUUUCGGCUUAACCGGAAAAGUGCCUUGGAUACUGCUGGUCUAGAGGGAGGUAGGGGCAUGUGGAACUUCCGGUGGAGCGGUGAAAUGCGUUGAUAUCGGAAGGAACGCCGGUGGCGAAAGCGACGUGCUGGAUCUCUUCUGACGCUGAGGCGCGAAAGCCAGGGGAGCAAACGGGAUUAGAUACCCCCGUAGUCC
RNAcentral lists this ribosomal RNA (433 nucleotides) under uncultured bacterium. Its description in RNAcentral is "bacterial SSU rRNA". It matches the Rfam family "Bacterial small subunit ribosomal RNA", at positions 355 to 796 of the family's 1533-position model. The record is from RNAcentral.